CCGCGUAACAACCGACGGGGGCAUCCCUGUUGGUUCAAAGGAGCGAUCCGGCUGCGGAUGGUCAUGCGGCGCAUUAGCUAGUUGGCGGGGCAACGGCCCACCAAGGCGACGAAGCGUAGGGGUUCUGAGAGGAAGGUCCCCCACACUGGUACUGAGACACGGACCAGACUCCUACGGGAGGCAGCAGUGAGGAAUAUUGGUCAAUGGCCGAGAGGCUGAACCAGCCAAGUCGCGUGAGGGAUGACGGCCCUACGGGUUGUAAACCUCUUUUGCCGGGGAGCAAAGAGCGGGACGCGUCCCGCCUCGAGAGUACCCGGAGAAAAAGCAUCGGCUAACUCCGUGCCAGCAGCCGCGGUAAUACGGAGGAUGCGAGCGUUAUCCGGAUUUAUUGGGUUUAAAGGGUGCGCAGGCGGAAGCGCAAGUCAGCGGUAAAAUUGAGAGGCUCAACCUCUUCCCGCCGUUGAAACUGCGUUUCUUGAGUGGGCGAGAAGUACGCGGAAUGCGUGGUGUAGCGGUGAAAUGCAUAGAUAUCACGCAGAACUCCGAUUGCGAAAGCAGCGUAACCGGCGCCCCAACUGACCGCUCAUGCCCCAAAACCGUGGGUUAUCCAAAAAGGAAUAAAAAAACCCUUGGGUAGUCCCCGCCCGGAAAAACAAAGAAAAACUCCCCCUGGUCCGGGGGAAAAAUUUGGUUUUCCGGGGGGGGGGCCAAAACCAAAAAAACCACUUUAAAUAUUA
RNAcentral lists this ribosomal RNA (737 nucleotides) under uncultured bacterium. Its description in RNAcentral is "partial 16S ribosomal RNA". It matches the Rfam family "Bacterial small subunit ribosomal RNA", at positions 169 to 1533 of the family's 1533-position model. The record is from RNAcentral.